ACAGUUACAUCAUGCUGGAAAUACCAGUUCUUGUUUGAUCAUUGAAGUUAAGCAUUGUUGAGCCUAGUCAGUACUUGGGUCAGGGACUGCUUGAGAACAGCACAUACCGUA
Acanthosepion pharaonis is the source of this 111-nucleotide non-coding RNA. The record is from the annotation of a GenBank genome assembly. Lineage: Eukaryota; Metazoa; Mollusca; Cephalopoda; Sepiida; Sepiidae.